UCAAUUCAUUACACAGAAUUCAAUAUCUUCACUUAACACAACACAAUUCAAUAAUCUCAAUUCUCAAGGUCACAGAUUUUCUUCAAAACGAUCAAUCCAAAGUCAUAUUCUAUAAUAUUCUAAUCAUAGUUUCAACAAUACUUCUCUCAAUCACAAUUCUUCAUAAAAAAAUAAUAAAAGCAAAGAAAACAAAGAGGUAGCACCAAGCUUACCCCAGCUU
Molecule: long non-coding RNA, 220 nt
Filed under: Physcomitrium patens
Lineage: Eukaryota; Viridiplantae; Streptophyta; Bryopsida; Funariales; Funariaceae
Description: long non-coding RNA (PPAT_LNC003655)
Source: RNAcentral